Molecule: long non-coding RNA, 981 nt
Filed under: Helianthus annuus (common sunflower)
Lineage: Eukaryota; Viridiplantae; Streptophyta; Magnoliopsida; Asterales; Asteraceae
Description: hypothetical non coding rna
Source: RNAcentral
UAAACUGGUGAUCUUUAUCUCUCUCUCUACCCUCUCUCUUCUCUCUCUCUACACUCUCUCUUCUCUCCCAUCACCAACUACCACCACCACCAACCGUCACAACCCGCACCGCCCUACCAUAGAGCAACCACCACAACCAUUCCUGUCGUCACUCAUACUUCCAUCUCUCUCCACCACCCGACCAUCGCCACCGCCACCAUCACCACCACCUAACCACCACCGUCGGUCUUCAUCUCUUACACCCCCCACACAACAGCCACCAUUGAAUCGGAGCUCAAACCCCAACCAUCUCCUCCGUAACCACCCCCACCAUAGAUCAAAUCAUGGAUCUGAGCAAAAACCACUAACAUUUCUCAGAUCUGGUUGAUAAUCGGGUUUAAUGACGAAUCCAUAAAACCUAAUCUGGUCAGAAAGCUUCGAACAAAGAUUGAGCGGCGGCAAUCCGUCACAGACAGCUAGGAUGGCGGUGGAGUCAGUCAGAUGUGGGAAGAUGUGGUGGUGGUGUUGGUCGAGUGUUGGUGACUGGUGGCAGUGUUGAUGGAGGUGUUGGUUGGUUGCUACUUGUGGUGAUGGUGGUAAAGUUAUAUGUGAGAAAAUUCUUUUAGUACUUCAAUAUAAACCAAUAAUCAUGAUGAUACCAAUACACACCGUAAUCCUUUUUGCAUUUGAUCAGUUGGGGUUUAAAUUUCAACUAAUGGAGUAUUUAAUUGGAUAAAAUUGAAAACAUUGAAUUAUCUAAUUAAAUGUUAUGAAUAUAGAUUAUUUAAUGGAAAUAAAGAAGAAAUAAUUGCAACCGAUGAUCGGAAUUGGUGACUUGUGGCAGUGUUGGUAGAGGUGUUGGUCGGCUGCUGCUGCUGGUGAUUGUGGUAAAGAGUGAGAGAGAUAUAGAGCUGGUACUGGUAGAAAGUGAUAUAGGAGAGAGAGGGGAGGAGAUGAGGGUGAGAUGAGAGAGAUUAAUAGAUGUUUUUAAUAAAAAGACAA